RNAcentral lists this ribosomal RNA (248 nucleotides) under uncultured Prevotella sp. Its description in RNAcentral is "partial 16S ribosomal RNA". It matches the Rfam family "Bacterial small subunit ribosomal RNA", at positions 107 to 354 of the family's 1533-position model. The record is from RNAcentral. Lineage: Bacteria; Pseudomonadati; Bacteroidota; Bacteroidia; Bacteroidales; Prevotellaceae.
UGAGUAUCGCGUAUCCAACCUGCCCUUUACUUGGGAUAACCCGUUGAAAGACGGACUAAUACCCAAUAUAAUCCUUUGAUGGCAUCUGAGGAGGAUGAAAGAUUUAUCGGUAUUGGAUGGGGAUGCGUCUGAUUAGCUUGUUGGUGAGGUAACGGCUCACCAAGGCUUCGAUCAGUAGGGGUUCUGAGAGGACGAUCAGCCACACUGGGACUGAGACACGGCCCAGACUCCUACGGGAGGCAGCAGGC